Molecule: long non-coding RNA, 485 nt
Filed under: Mytilus galloprovincialis (Mediterranean mussel)
Lineage: Eukaryota; Metazoa; Mollusca; Bivalvia; Mytilida; Mytilidae
Source: RNAcentral
CGAAUACACAAAAUUAUCCUAGCACAAUAACACAAAUGCGGGAUGUAUAAAAAGUAAAUUCACAAAAAUAUUGAACUCCGAGGAAAAUUAAAAAAAGAAAGUUCCUGAUCAAAUGACAAAAUCAAAACGAAUGGAUAACAACUGUCAUAUUCCUGACUUGAUACAAGCAUUGUCGAGCCACGUCGAAAAGAUAUUAAAAAUUGUUUUGGUUUAUCUAGGGUCUAAGCGUGACGCGGAAUUGGCUGAUUUCUUGAAGAGUGAAAACGGGAUACGAAUUCUGGAGGGACACAAGCGUUAUUAUUACAUCGAUAAGCGCGAAACGGGAAUUUGACAAAACAAUAAACUUGAUCAGGACCGUCGUCCCAUUGAAAAAAAUAGACAUCCUAAAACGGAUUAAGGAGUAAAGGUUUAUAAUAUAAAAUACAUAUAAGAACACACUAACAAGUAGUUCAGAUGAUAAACAAUACCUAGAAUCUAUAUUUUAA